CCUACGGGUGGCAGCAGUGGGGAAUAUUGGACAAUGGGGGGAACCCUGAUCCAGCCAUGCCGCGUGUGUGAAGAAGGCCCUCGGGUUGUAAAGCACUUUCAGUGAGGAAGAACGCCUGGUGGUUAAUACCCAUCAGGAAAGACAUCACUCACAGAAGAAGCACCGGCUAACUCCGUGCCAGCAGCCGCGGUAAUACGGAGGGUGCGAGCGUUAAUCGGAAUUACUGGGCGUAAAGCGCGCGUAGGUGGCUUGAUAAGCCGGUUGUGAAAGCCCCGGGCUCAACCUGGGAACGGCAUCCGGAACUGUCAAGCUAGAGUGCAGGAGAGGAAAGUAGAAUUCCCGGUGUAGCGGUGAAAUGCGUAGAGAUCGGGAGGAAUACCAGUGGCGAAGGCGGCCUUCUGGACUGACACUGACACUGAGGUGCGAAAGCGUGGGUAGCAAACAGGAUUAGAUACCCGUGUAGUC
This 465-nucleotide ribosomal RNA is filed under the name Vreelandella stevensii. RNAcentral describes it as "partial 16S ribosomal RNA". It matches the Rfam family "Bacterial small subunit ribosomal RNA", at positions 338 to 795 of the family's 1533-position model. The record is from RNAcentral. Lineage: Bacteria; Pseudomonadati; Pseudomonadota; Gammaproteobacteria; Oceanospirillales; Halomonadaceae.